Molecule: long non-coding RNA, 1131 nt
Filed under: Androctonus crassicauda
Lineage: Eukaryota; Metazoa; Arthropoda; Arachnida; Scorpiones; Buthidae
Source: RNAcentral
ACUACCCAGAAAAUUUUAUUUUAAAUGAAUUCUAGACCAUCAAUUUUUUUUUACUAUUGCUUUAUUUAGAAAAUAGGAAACAAUGGAUUGAGAAAAAUUACUGCCCUUGGUAUUAGAUACUGUAAAGAGUAGACUAUACUCCCGAUAUUUUCAAUUUGACGUCUAUUACUGAAGAAUAAAAUAGCAAUAUGGUUUCAUUUGUUAGAAAAAACUCUUAUCUGUCAACAUUCGCUACAGUAUUUUGACAUUAGGGAAUUUCCGAUGUGGUUUACUGGAAUAGAUCCAUCACCAGAUAGCAUUCCUUUGUGGUGUAAGCAUUCCUGGAUUCUAUCCAAGUGGCCAUGGUAUAGUUUCUCGCAGACAUCCAUAAAAACUGUAGUAAAUUGGCAGACAAAAACAAAUACGGGCAUUACUAUGAUAGAUGAAACACUUUGUAACUCAUCAGGAAUUUGCAUGAUUUUUUUUAAGUUUUUAACCUGCUAUUUUCUGCUGAAUUGCUCUACUCUUUCCUAAUAGUUUCGAAUGACGUUUUUUUUAUUAUUAUUUUGAGACUGUGAAUCGAAGUUAAAUUUAAACGGGAAUCAUUGCUUUUGAAUGAGAAAAUUAUACUUAGUCCAAAAACUGUUAUUGACCCUAUUUAGAGCAGGAAAAUCGGUAACUAUAAUUAUAGUAGUCAUUGAAAAGGGAUUUUUAGUAUAAUGCCUGCCCUAUUCCCAGUUAAGAAUUCGGUACAUAAAUAUGGGAGCAGGAAGUUAAAAUAUCGUCGCUCCAGAAUAAAUUGCUGUAAUUCUUUUAUCACGAUUUUGAAUUUUUAUAGAGUAUUUUAAAUAAAUCAGAAAUUUAGUAACUUUUUUUUUUUUAAAUGAAGUUAAGAUUAAAUUUCAGAAUUAAAUGAAAAUCUUAAUAAUAAUUUUAAAAACUAAAGCUUUACUGGAAUGCCAAGUGCAGAAUACUGUUAGUAGUUCGUGUUACUUCUUGGAAAUACUUUGCAGUUAUUUUCUGGAAUAUGAGGUUUAAAUAUGAUACUUUAGAUAAAUAUUCGAAUAAGGCAAAUAAACACAAAUAUUUGUGUGUGUAUAAACUAAUAUUAGUAAAUUUGGCGCACAUAUAAUUCAACUUUAUCAUCGUUAU